RNAcentral lists this ribosomal RNA (465 nucleotides) under Vreelandella stevensii. RNAcentral's name for it is "partial 16S ribosomal RNA". It matches the Rfam family "Bacterial small subunit ribosomal RNA", at positions 338 to 795 of the family's 1533-position model. Lineage: Bacteria; Pseudomonadati; Pseudomonadota; Gammaproteobacteria; Oceanospirillales; Halomonadaceae. The record is from RNAcentral.
CCUACGGGCGGCAGCAGUGGGGAAUAUUGGACAAUGGGGGGAACCCUGAUCCAGCCAUGCCGCGUGUGUGAAGAAGGCCCUCGGGUUGUAAAGCACUUUCAGUGAGGAAGAACGCCUGGUGGUUAAUACCCAUCAGGAAAGACAUCACUCACAGAAGAAGCACCGGCUAACUCCGUGCCAGCAGCCGCGGUAAUACGGAGGGUGUGAGCGUUAAUCGGAAUUACUGGGCGUAAAGCGCGCGUAGGUGGCUUGAUAAGCCGGUUGUGAAAGCCCCGGGCUCAACCUGGGAACGGCAUCCGGAACUGUCAAGCUAGAGUGCAGGAGAGGAAGGUAGAAUUCCCGGUGUAGCGGUGAAAUGCGUAGAGAUCGGGAGGAAUACCAGUGGCGAAGGCGGCCUUCUGGACUGACACUGACACUGAGGUGCGAAAGCGUGGGUAGCAAACAGGAUUAGAUACCCCAGUAGUC